This 849-nucleotide long non-coding RNA is filed under the name Equus caballus (horse). Its description in RNAcentral is "lncRNA (ENSECAG00000055952.1)". Lineage: Eukaryota; Metazoa; Chordata; Mammalia; Perissodactyla; Equidae. The record is from RNAcentral.
AAGGACGAAAAGCACAAUGAUGACUAUUUGGGGGAAGGAGGCACGUCCCUCACGGAGCUGAGCUUGUAUAAGACACUGUGCUGGGGGCUUAGCAGCUCAUCUCGCUGGGUGAGGCAUACAGGUCCUCAUACCUGGCUGCAGCACCCCCUCCUUCACCCUGGAGCGCCUAUGACAUCCUGGGACAUGUCUGAGAGCAGGCUCCCCGCAACACCAGUCCCAGGGGUUACCAAAAAGAGAAGAGAUUAGAAGACAGAAGAGAAGAAGAGAAGAAGAAAUUAUCAUACUCCUAUGACCCCAAGGGCCUGUUAUCACUAAGACACUGCAGUGAAGAAUUGCAACACCGAGGCCAUUCCUUGAUUAUGGAACCUAGUUAGGGAGUCAAGACUCCAACAUGAGGAAUGUUAGAUAAGCACGCAGGAAUGAAGUCGAAGAUAACAGAGCAAGACAAAGACUGAUCGUGUGUGGGCCCUGCGUGGUCUGGGUGCAGGAGGGCAGGUCAUGGUGGGUAGGCCACGGUGGGCUGCGGAGAGAAGUCCUCUGAGAGUCCGAUUUGAAGGAUGGCCAUGGGAUGGGGUGGUGCGGGGGAGCAUCCAAGAGGGAGGCCCGUGAUCUAGGCCUGGAGCCGGGAAGGGGUCUGCAUGCUCAGUGGCCAAAAAGGAGCCCCUUGAGGCCAGAAUAGAAAGAAAACAUCUGCAAGUCCUGGGAGGGUAUGUUAGGGCCAGAAUUUUGAGGACCUUGAAAGCCAGGCAGGGGCGUCCAUGCUGGGAAAAAGAGGAUGAAGACCUCAGAAAGUAAUGCAGCAGAUAAGAGAAGUUCAUGGGGAGAUCAGCCUGGGGGCAGCCCUCAGAA